GACGAACGCUGGCGGCGUGCUUAACACAUGCAAGUCGAACGGAAAGGCCCUGCUUUUGUGGGGUGCUCGAGUGGCGAACGGGUGAGUAACACGUGAGUAACCUGCCCUUGACUUUGGGAUAACUUCAGGAAACUGGGGCUAAUACCGGAUAGGAGCUCCUGCGGCAUGGUGGGGGUUGGAAAGUUUCGGCGGUUGGGGAUGGACUCGCGGCUUAUCAGCUUGGUGGUGGGGUAGUGGCUUGCCAAGGCUUUGACGGGUAGCCGGCCUGGGAGGGUGACCGGCCACAUUGGGACUGAGAUACGGCCCAGACUCCUACGGGAGGCAGCAGUGGGGAAUAUUGCACAAUGGGCGGAAGCCUGAUGCAGCAACGCCGCGUGCGGGAUGACGGCCUUCGGGUUGUAAACCGCUUUCGCCUGUGACGAAGCGUGAGUGACGGUAAUGGGUAAAGAAGCACCGGCUAACUACGUG
This 468-nucleotide ribosomal RNA is filed under the name uncultured bacterium. Its description in RNAcentral is "partial 16S ribosomal RNA". It matches the Rfam family "Bacterial small subunit ribosomal RNA", at positions 28 to 507 of the family's 1533-position model. The record is from RNAcentral.